This 465-nucleotide ribosomal RNA is filed under the name uncultured bacterium. RNAcentral describes it as "partial 16S ribosomal RNA". It matches the Rfam family "Bacterial small subunit ribosomal RNA", at positions 28 to 507 of the family's 1533-position model. The record is from RNAcentral.
GACGAACGCUGGCGGCGUGCUUAACACAUGCAAGUCGAACGGAAAGGCCCUGCUUGCAGGGUACUCGAGUGGCGAACGGGUGAGUAACACGUGGGUGAUCUGCCCUGCACUUCGGGAUAAGCCUGGGAAACUGGGUCUAAUACCGGAUAGGAGCCAUUUUUAGUGUGAUGGUUGGAAAGUUUUUUCGGUGUAGGAUGAGCUCGCGGCCUAUCAGCUUGUUGGUGGGGUAAUGGCCUACCAAGGCGGCGACGGGUAGCCGGCCUGAGAGGGUGGACGGCCACAUUGGGACUGAGAUAAGGCCCAGACUCCUACGGGAGGCAGCAGUGGGGAAUAUUGAACAAUGGGCGCAAGCCGGAUGCAGCGACGCCGCGUGGGGGAUGACGGCCUUCGGGUUGUAAACUCCUUUCGCUAGGGACGAAGCUUUUUGUGACGGUACCUAGAUAAGAAGCACCGGCUAACUACGUG